This 600-nucleotide ribosomal RNA is filed under the name uncultured archaeon. RNAcentral describes it as "bacterial SSU rRNA". It matches the Rfam family "Archaeal small subunit ribosomal RNA", at positions 201 to 807 of the family's 1478-position model. The record is from RNAcentral.
UGGCCUGGAUGGACUGCGGCCGAUCAGCUGUUGGUGAGGUAAUGGCCCACCAACCUGUAACCGGUACGGGCUCUGAGAGGAGGAGCCGGAGAUGGGCACUGAGACAAGGGCCCAGGCCCUAUGGGGCGCAGCAGGCGCGAAACCUCUGCAAUAGGCGAAAGCCUGACAGGGUUACUCUGAGUGAUUUCCGUUAAGGAGAUCUUUUGGCACCUCUAAAAAUGGUGCAGAAUAAGGGGUGGGCAAGUCUGGUGUCAGCCGCCGCGGUAAUACCAGCACCCCGAGUGGUCGGGACGUUUAUUGGGCCUAAAGCAUCCGUAGCCGAUUCUACAAGUCUUCCGUUAAAUCCACCUGCUCAACAGAUGGGCUGCGGAAGAUACUAUAGAGCUAGGAGGCGGGAGAGGCAAGCGGUACUCGAUGGGUAGGGGUAAAAUCCGUUGAUCCAUUGAAGACCACCAGUGGCGAAGGCGGCUUGCCAGAACGCGCUCGACGGUGAGGGAUGAAAGCUGGGGGAGCAAACCGGAUUAGAUACCCGGGUAGUCCCAGCUGUAAACGAUGCAGACUCGGUGAUGAAUUGGCUUUAUGCCAAUUCAGUGCCGCAGG